GUGUCGCGCGCUGCCCCGCGGCUCCCCGCGCGUGUCCGCUGGAAUGCGGGCAGCUCCUGCGGCCGGACCGCGGAGAAUUACGCAAAAGCCCGCGAAUGAAUAACACGUCCCACUGACCGCGAGCGGGCUCCUGUCUGCUACUCGGCUGGCCGCUAGAACCAGCCGAGAGCCUACUGGUACCCAUAAGUUAAGGAGGGACCCCCGGCCGUACCGGCGGCGGGGCAGCGCUCCCUCUCAGCCCGGCUCCGCCCUCCCGCCGGGCCCGCUCUGGAGGCAGGAAUUCCUGUUCCUUCCUGCAAAGAUGGAAAUGGUAAAAUGCUUGAACUAGAAAAAAACAUUUAUGUGUGAAGACCAAUUCAUCUGCAACAGCUGCUCUGAAAGUAAUGCUUCCUAUUUUACUGUGUUGGCAGACAAUAUCAGACAUGGAUGUUGGUGGUACAGCAGUAGAGCUUGAAGCUUGUAUGGAAACUGCUGAGUCACGGCCUGAACCUCUGAUUGAUCACCGGAGGCGAGCCAUGAGUCAGCCAGAGGAGCACAGCUGAAGGCAAUUCACCUGUGCUGUCGCAAGGGGUGGAGCCUGGCUGCACCCCUCCUAGACCUGUUUAAGAGCUGGCUACCAGUGGGGAAGGAUCUGUCCUGGAGAUUGGCUCUGCUGGAGUUUUGUGAGUGAGCCUAGGAUAAGGUUUGUUGCUGUGUGACAGAUGGCAGCAGAGGGGCAGCCUGGCAGAAUGGCAUGUGACAUGGGAUGUGUAUGAAGCAAAGGUUUGUCACUGAAUUCCUCCACGCAGAAAGCAUGGCACCCAUUGACAUUAACUGAAUUUGCUGAAUGUUUAUGGAAACCUAACAGUGGAUAUGAGCACAUUGAGGCGGUGGGUGGUGCAUUUCAGCAAUGGUGACAGUGGGCUACCUCUGGUGCAGAUUUGUACAAGCAUGGCAUGCAGGCUCUUGUUUGCUUGCAAAGAUGCGUAUCUAGUGGUGGUGACUAUGCUGAGAAAUAGCAUUCUGUAGCUGAGAAUUUGCUCAAAUAGUGUUACUGUGCGCUCUGCAUCUGUUAUGGUUUCCAUAGAAACAAACAGGAGGCAUUACUUUCAGAACAGCCUAUAUACCAGAUCCAGUAACAUCAAUUUAUUUUCCUUGGUAUUGCUGUUAUUAUGAAGAUGAAAACAAUUAUUCACAUUGUUGUCCAUCUAGAAAAAUAUUUACAGAUGUCUAUUUUUAAAUAUUUUCAGCGCUAUUUUUGUAUCUUUCGUGUAAAGAUUGAAUAAUUGCUGUAGUUUUAUGGUAACAAUUGCUACUUGAUUGUAAGACAAUAUAAAGUACUUUUAUCUUAAAAAAAUUUAAAAAAAAAUCACUUGCCUAUUCUUUAGGAUUGUAAAAUGAAGAUUCUUUUCUGAGUGAAGCCAUAACCAACUCACAUAGGUGAACUGUCUGACUAAUUAUAAAGCUUAUGUAAGAACAGACGUGCCAUAUUUAUCUUGAUUUAAGAUUGGAAGAACCCAGGUGAGCUUUCUCACUGUUCCCAUGCUUUAACAAUGCAGAGUAAGUGGCCCGGGAUCUAAUUUUCCCUCCUUAUUGAAUUGUGGUCAUGACAACCGUCUGUAGAAGGGUAAACUUUACAGUACUGUCUUGUUCAAGGGUAUCAUGUCGGUGUUAUGCUGUGUGAUACAGUUAGGUAAUGGAAAAUAAUACUGUACAGCUGCUUAUGCCUUUCUGUGCGUUUUCUUUUGUUUACUUGAUAUUUAU
This is a long non-coding RNA of Tympanuchus pallidicinctus (lesser prairie-chicken), 1743 nucleotides long. RefSeq lists it as uncharacterized. The transcript is spliced from 3 exons. Lineage: Eukaryota; Metazoa; Chordata; Aves; Galliformes; Phasianidae. The record is from RefSeq and is a predicted model, not a curated record.